Molecule: ribosomal RNA, 464 nt
Filed under: Vreelandella stevensii
Lineage: Bacteria; Pseudomonadati; Pseudomonadota; Gammaproteobacteria; Oceanospirillales; Halomonadaceae
Description: partial 16S ribosomal RNA
Rfam family: Bacterial small subunit ribosomal RNA
Source: RNAcentral
CCUACGGGUGGCUGCAGUGGGGAAUAUUGGACAAUGGGGGGAACCCUGAUCCAGCCAUGCCGCGUGUGUGAAGAAGGCCCUCGGGUUGUAAAGCACUUUCAGUGAGGAAGAACGCCUGGUGGUUAAUACCCAUCAGGAAAGACAUCACUCACAGAAGAAGCACCGGCUAACCCGUGCCAGCAGCCGCGGUAAUACGGAGGGUGCGAGCGUUAAUCGGAAUUACUGGGCGUAAAGCGCGCGUAGGUGGCUUGAUAAGCCGGUUGUGAAAGCCCCGGGCUCAACCUGGGAACGGCAUCCGGAACUGUCAAGCUAGAGUGCAGGAGAGGAAGGUAGAAUUCCCGGUGUAGCGGUGAAAUGCGUAGAGAUCGGGAGGAAUACCAGUGGCGAAGGCGGCCUUCUGGACUGACACUGACACUGAGGUGCGAAAGCGUGGGUAGCAAACAGGAUUAGAUACCCUAGUAGUC